RNAcentral lists this ribosomal RNA (357 nucleotides) under Bacillus sp. Cementerio-L. RNAcentral describes it as "bacterial SSU rRNA". It matches the Rfam family "Bacterial small subunit ribosomal RNA", at positions 34 to 370 of the family's 1533-position model. The record is from RNAcentral. Lineage: Bacteria; Bacillati; Bacillota; Bacilli; Caryophanales; Bacillaceae.
CGCUGGCGGCGUGCCUAAUACAUGCAAAGUCGAAGCGAAUGGAAUUGAGAGCUUGCUCUCAAGGAAGUUAGCGGCGGACGGGUGAGUAACACGUGGGUAACCUGCCCAUAAGACUGGGAUAAACUCCGGGAAAACCGGGGCUAAUACCGGAUAACAUUUUGAAACUGCAUGGUUCGAAAUUGAAAGGCGGCUUCGGCUGUCACUUAUGGAUGGACCCGCGUCGCAUUAGCUAGUUGGUGAGGUAACGGCUCACCAAAGGCAGACGAUGCGUAGCCGACCUGAGAGGGUGAUCGGCCACACUGGGACUGAGACACGGCCCAGACUCCUACGGGAGGCAGCAGUAGGGAGGCUUCCGCA